Molecule: ribosomal RNA, 207 nt
Filed under: uncultured bacterium
Lineage: Bacteria
Description: partial 16S ribosomal RNA
Rfam family: Bacterial small subunit ribosomal RNA
Source: RNAcentral
CCCGUAGGCGGUUCGUCGCGUCCGGUGUGAAAGUCCAUCGCUUAACGGUGGAUCCGCGCCGGGUACGGGCGGGCUUGAGUGCGGUAGGGGAGACUGGAAUUCCCGGUGUAACGGUGGAAUGUGUAGAUAUCGGGAAGAACACCAAUGGCGAAGGCAGGUCUCUGGGCCGUUACUGACGCUGAGGAGCGAAAGCGUGGGGAGCGAACA